RNAcentral lists this ribosomal RNA (460 nucleotides) under uncultured bacterium. RNAcentral's name for it is "partial 16S ribosomal RNA". It matches the Rfam family "Bacterial small subunit ribosomal RNA", at positions 338 to 795 of the family's 1533-position model. The record is from RNAcentral.
CCUACGGGCGGCAGCAGUGAGGAAUAUUGGUCAAUGGACGCAAGUCUGAACCAGCCAUGCCGCGUGCAGGAAGACGGCUCUAUGAGUUGUAAACUGCUUUUGUACGAGGGUAAACGCAGAUACGCGUAUCUGUCUGAAAGUAUCGUACGAAUAAGGAUCGGCUAACUCCGUGCCAGCAGCCGCGGUAAUACGGAGGAUUCAAGCGUUAUCCGGAUUUAUUGGGUUUAAAGGGUGCGUAGGCGGUCGGAUAAGUUAGAGGUGAAAUCCCGAGGCUCAACCUCGGAAUUGCCUUUGAUACUGUUCGGCGAGAGAGUAGUUGCGGUAGGCGGAAUGUAUGGUGUAGCGGUGAAAUGCUUAGAGAUCAUACAGAACACCGAUUGCGAAGGCAGCUUACCAAGCUACUUCUGACGUUGAGGCACGAAAGCGUGGGGAGCAAACAGGAUUAGAUACCCCAGUAGUC